UUGUCUUAUCAAGUCGAUGGUCCCACGCGAGUGGGUUAAUAGGGAACGCCGUCACGCUCCGGCCGGGUCAUGAACCCGGGAGCCAAGUCGGAGGCUGCUCCCGCAACUGUAGGCGGUAUGCCGCCGGUUCAUUUCACCCGGACGGGGUGAGUCACUGUUUCCGAAAAGGAAAUGGGAAGGCAGAACCGGCUGGCCAUGAUCCGUAAGCCAGGAGACCUGCCAUCGUCAUAUAUCAAGC
Molecule: non-coding RNA, 238 nt
Organism: Gluconacetobacter sp. SXCC-1
Lineage: Bacteria; Pseudomonadati; Pseudomonadota; Alphaproteobacteria; Acetobacterales; Acetobacteraceae
Source: Rfam